This 460-nucleotide ribosomal RNA is filed under the name uncultured bacterium. Its description in RNAcentral is "partial 16S ribosomal RNA". It matches the Rfam family "Bacterial small subunit ribosomal RNA", at positions 338 to 795 of the family's 1533-position model. The record is from RNAcentral.
CCUACGGGAGGCAGCAGUGAGGAAUAUUGGUCAAUGGGCGUAAGCCUGAACCAGCCAAGUCGCGUGAGGGAUGAAGGCUCUAUGGAUCGUAAACCUCUUUUAUAAGGGAAUAAAGUGUGGGACGUGUCCUGUUUUGUAUGUACCUUAUGAAUAAGGAUCGGCUAACUCCGUGCCAGCAGCCGCGGUAAUACGGAGGAUCCGAGCGUUAUCCGGAUUUAUUGGGUUUACAGGGUGCGUAGGCGGCCUUUUAAGUCAGGGGUGAAAGUAUGUGGCUCAACCAUGGAAUUGCCGUUGAAACUGGCAGGCUUGAGUAUGUUUGAGGCAGGCGGAAUGCGUGGUGUAGCGGUGAAAUGCUUAGAUAUCACGAAGAACCCCGAUUGCGAAGGCAGCCUGCUAAGCCAUGACUGACGCUGAUGCACGAAAGCGUGGGGAUCAAACAGGAUUAGAUACCCUUGUAGUC